RNA transcript from Acipenser ruthenus (sterlet), 7952 nucleotides. It is a transcript of the gene named peptidyl-prolyl cis-trans isomerase-like 4, with no coding region annotated. NCBI's taxonomy places the organism in Eukaryota, Metazoa, Chordata, Actinopteri, Acipenseriformes, Acipenseridae. The transcript has 4 exons. The record is from RefSeq and is a predicted model, not a curated record.
CUGUUGGAGAAAAGUUCUGGGUAACACAACGCAAUCAUUUUUUCUCCCGGAAGAUGGAGUCAUAGAUAAGCGCGUUGAAGAAAUUGUUGCUUACUGAUGAUGUCAUUUGCAGAUAAGAAUGAAGAGUUCAUACAGUCACUGUAGGAUGGCUGUAUUGGAGACUACGUUAGGAGACGCUGUUAUUGAUUUAUGUAGAGAGGAAACCCCGAGGGGUAAGAACAUUUCUAAUUAAUUAUAUGGAUUGCCAUCGUAAACUACAACUAACCCAUUAAAGUUAUACAGUGCUAUAAUAAUGCCACAAUAAACCUCCCAGAAAUAUGCUGCUUACCUAUUGUAUUAUGAUUUAUUUCUUAGCAGACGCCCUUAUCCAGGGCGACUUACAAUUGUUACAAGAUAUCACAUUAUUUUUUACAUACAUUUACAUUAUUUUUACAUACAGUUACCCAUUUAUACAGUUGGGUUUUUACUGUAGCAAUCUAGGUAAAGUUGUCUAGGUGUUGGAGAUGGAUGAUUUAGUGGUUGAAUCUUGAAUGUACCUAAGCUAAUGAGGGAUAUGUGAAACGUGGUAAAGUACUGUUUUGUACAUGAUUGUAUACAAAUCCUCGCGUUUGCAUUGAUCUCUGAUUGAUAUUUAGUUUUCUGUUUGUUUUUGCAGCUUCCUUGAAUUUUCUUAAGUUGUGUAAAAUUACAUUUUACAACUACUGCUUCAUUGACAAUGAUCAGGUAACACUAUGUAACACAAUUUUUGUUCCUGGGUAGUAAGUGUUAUUUCCUAAUUGCUUAUGCCUCAAAAGUAUAGAAAAUGGCUAUUAUUCCCCACAAACUUUGCUUUUGUGACCAGGACAGUGAUAUUUUUAAAUUUACCUAUUUCCAAUGAGAAAAUGGGCGAAUUUGUGUCUUUUCGUUCACAUAAAGUCAGAAAAAAACAACAUAUGAAUCCAAAUUAACAUGUAUUUAUACUAAAGUAAUACAAAAAUGACUACAAAAGAUUUAGAAGUGAGUAGUUUUUCGAGAUUUACGAUUAUACUGUAAAUCACUUUCAUGAAUCGGCCCCCAAAUGUAGUCUCCCAUCAUGUUCUCGUUAUACUGUCCUUGGUAGAGGCGUUCAAAGUCCAGUAUAUCCUGGUGGAAGCGCUCACCUUGCUCCUCCGAGUACGCUCCCAUGUUCUCCUUGAAUUUAUCAAGAUGAGCAUCAAGGAUAUGGACUUUGAGGGACAUCCUACAGCCCACUGUGCCGUAGUUCUACACCAGAGUCUCAACCAGCUCCACAUAGUUUUCGGCCUUGUGAUUGCCCAGGAAGCCCCGAACCACUGUGACAAAGCUGUUCCAAGCCGCUUUCUCCUUACUAGUGAGCUUCUUGGGGAAUUCAUUGCACUCCAGGAAAUUCUUUAUCUGUGGUCCGACGAAGACACCGGCUUUGACCUAGUAGUACUAUCAGAGUCUCCUGGAGAUCUCUAGGGAUCUUUGGAAAAGUCAUAUAGGUUUAUUGAAUCAUUCAGAUAAUGCAAUAUAUACUGCCAUACAUUUUAUGCUAACUUAUUUUGCUAACUUGCUUUGCUCAGUUGUCUAUCUAGAGAGAUUUUAUCAUCCAGACUGGUGACCCCAUGGGCACUGUCUGGGGAGGUGAAUCUGUUUUCAGGUAGGUGAAUCUUGUUGAGAAGCAAAGUUCUUGCAAAAGGACACAGAACAAUAUGUAUGUUUCAUAAUACAACUACAGACAAUAUAAUUGCAAACAUCCAAGUUGUACAGCUUCCAAGUUCAAGCAUCUUAUGUUUGUGAGAGGAUUUCUGUAAAAUAAUGACUGAGUGGCAGCGCCACGCUUUGAAUAGCUGUUGGAAUUCCAGGGGCCAAAAGGUCAGCAAUCAAAAAAUCAUCAGCUCUUUUAAUAAUCAAUUUGAGCCUGCCCUGCUGAAUAAUGUUUUUUUUUUGGUUUUGUUUUGAUUUUUUUUUUUUUUUUAAAGAGCAAUAUUUUUACUGGUGUUCAUAAAUGUUUCCUGCAUUAGACUGCAUGGUGAUCAAGCUAGGUUUUUUGAAGCAGAGAAAAUGCCCAGGAUAAAGCAUAAGAAAAAGGGGACAGUGUACAUGGUGAAUAAUGCCCACAACCAGCAUGGCUCUCAGGUAAAAUGAAAUGUUAGUAAAACUGAGGAAACUACAUUGUCUAGUAGACAAAUGUUUGUACAAGUGCCUUUCAGUGUCAGUUUUUCUAUGGAAAUGCUGUUUACCGCUAUUUUUUUCACAAAAUAAAGAUUGACGCACUUUCUCAAACAAAGUCCAGAAAUGUAUUUAAUCGUUUCGAUUUUAGAAAGCAAACCAAUGACGUUUUGACUGCUAGGUUUUCAUCAGAUACCGCUAUGUUUAAUAUUAUUUGAUGAAUUUUUACCCUGGUUUUUAUAACCAUUUUGAAAGAUCCAAAUUGAUUGUCGCCUCACUUCUGCAACCCACUAACAUAUCAGCAGUGUCGGUGCACUUGUUGGGCGCCUGACCAGUAGGGAAUGCCAGUGUGUGAUAUCCCCAGCUCACACUGACCGACAGCCCAAUGGCCACUGAAACAAUCACCGUAGGUCCCCUGCCAAGAUCAGCAACUUGGCACAAGACUGUUGUAGUCUAGAACAGUUUAAUAAAUAUCAAACUAUGUUAUCCACCAACACAACUUGGUUUAUUUAAACUAAACAGAUUUUGUUGCAGAAGAUCCUUUUAGUUUAUUAUUUUAGUUUUCUUCAGAUUAAUUUCUAUAUUUUUUCUUUCCUAAUUAGUUCCUUAUUACUACAGGGGAAACCCUGGAUUAUCUUGAUGGGAUUCACAGUGUUUGGGGAGGUAACUGAAGGCAUGGAUGUCCUGAUGAAGAUCAAUGAGGCUUUUGUGGACAUGGAUUUCCUGCCUUUCCAGGAUAUCAGAAUAAACCACACCGUCAUACUGGACGAUCCCUUGGACGAUCCACAUGGCCUGCCAAUACCUGAUCGCUCUCCUGAACCAACAAAGGAACAGCUAGAUUUGUGAAAUCAUUCAAGACUGGAAAACCAGAGUCUCUGUGCUACGCUUUCAUUGAAUUUGAAAAGGAAGAAGACACUGAAAAGGUUUACUUCAAGAUGGACAAUGUGCUCAUCGAUGAUUGGAGAAUACAUGGGGAUUUUAGUCUGUUUCGAAGAUUAAAUGGAAAGGGAAAGAUAGGGAAUUAACUGUAUUAUUUGAUUUUAAUUAUUGUGCUUGAUUUGUUAAAACUGUUCACAUAAAGUCAAUUCAGUCUUGUUUCUGUGGACAAUCCCAGAGAUAGCAACACAUUACCAUACAUAAUUGUGUCACUGGAUCUUACUUCUUAACUGGGCACAAACAAGCAGUGUUGUCUUACACAAACUGAUUAGAGUGAACAGUGAAUUGACAAUCCUCAUACUUCUGUGAUUGAAGCACAUAGUUUUAGUGUACAGUAGGCUAAAAGUCCAUCAGUUCCUGAUUAAUAAAUAGAAACAGUUACUAUAAAAAAAUCAACAAUUUAAGUUUUUUUUGUAUUGCCUUUGUAGAAAACAAAAUGAAUGUAGGUCAGGCAGGGUGGUUCAAAUCGGGUCACCCGGACGCCAAAUGCGACCUUCAAUUUUAAUAUGGCCAGUCGAUUUGACUGUUAAGUCGCCACGUUGGCGACUAAGCAUUUACAGUAUAUACAACACAAGUUUGGUUCUUUAAUAAAGGCCCUGUCCAUACGACAUAACCAGUCUCAAGAACCGUACUCAAAAAUAUUUUAAUUAAUCCAGCUCAAAACGUCCACACUGAAAUACUGUUUAUUAUUAUUAUUUAUUUCUUAGCAGACGCCCUUAUCCAGGGCGACUUACAAUUGUUACAAGAUAUCACAUUAUUUUUACAUACAAUUACCCAUUUAUACAGUUGGGUUUUUACUGGAGCAAUCUAGGUAAAGUACCUUGCUCAAGGGUACAGCAGCAGUGUCCCCCGACCCGGGAUUGAACCCACAACCCUCCGGUCAAGAGUCCAGAGCCCUAACCACUACUCCACACUGCUGCCCCAUGACUGUUUCAUGUUAGUCGGGCUUAAUGCGUACACACACUAUUAAAAUAGUUUGGUUAGAGUUCCUAGUAGCACAAUGAACAGUGGUAAUGAAUACGAUAGUAUCGCACCAUCCACUGUAUUUUAUUUUAAAAUAAUGUGUUGUGCUUCAUAUUAAUAGAGAUCCAUAUUGGUAAAAAGAAAUGAGUAUUUUGGGGAAAAAGUAAAUGCGAACACACACACACACACAAGUAGAGCUUGAAGUUUUCUGGUUUUAUUUUUAAUCAGGUGAUGCCAUUAUAAGAAAUUGAGCUGAUUCUGUUUUCAUAAUUAAACUCAGAAAAAAAGCUACAAAACAACCUUUGUUUUUACCUUAAUAUCUUGCCUGAGCCUAACACUGGUCCUCUUAAUUUUAUUUCAAACAGAGCUGACAAAUUAUGUGAAUUGUUCAUCCCCGAACCUACUUUUUAACUCACAUUUCAUUUUUGCAGUCGCCUAAUUUAAUGUUGUGCUUUGGUUAUUUUCCCUACUAGUUUAACAGAGAUGUCCAGACAGAGUACAGAGUAUUUAUUAUUAUUAUUAUUAUUAAUUUCUUAGCAGACGCCCUUAUCCAGGGCGACUUACAAUUGUUACAAGAUAUCACAUUAUACAUUAUUUCACAUACAAUGACCCAUAUAUACAGUUGGGUUUUUACUGGAGCAAUCUAGGUAAAGUACCUUGCUCAAGGGUACAACAGCAGUGUCCCCCACUGGGGAUUGAACCCACAACCCUCCGGUCCAGAGUCCAAAGCCCUAACCACUACUCCACACUGCUGCCCACAUAUAUAUAAUGUGAAUACCAAUAUAUAAACAUCAGCAUGGCAAAUAAUAGUUUUUAUUACCGUGAUCAAAAUAAAACCAUAUACAUUUUUUCUUCAAUAAGAAUGUUUAAAUUGUUUCUGAGUAGUCUCAGCACUUCGCUAUAUAAGUAAAUAAAUAAAUAAACAACCAGAGAGUUGAAAGGUCAUAGCACACAGGCAGGCACCGCUACAGUGUCAAAGAAACGGGGAUCAGAAAGAUCUGAAAAAAAGACUAGAAAACAGAUAAACUUCAUGUUUAUUUACAGUUUGCAGGAAAUAAAAAAGAUGUUCAGCGGUAGUGUGAAGUAUUUUGUUUAGCUUUGGACAAAGUGACUGCAUUGUGUGAAAAAAAGGUUUCAAGAAAUAAAAUGUAAGUAUGAAUGAAUCGUUUUUAAAAGUGCCAGCCCACGGGGUGGUAUUGGGCACUGGAACGUCCAGUAUUGUCCAUGCCGUCCACCCUGGAGGGUCUUACUGCAUUUAGAAAAUUGACAACUGUUAAGAAAAAAAAGACAGAAACAGGUUUUGUGGUUUAAAACUUGAACACAGACAUUUUAUUUAUUUUUGCAAAACAAGAAAAUAAUUGUCCCUUUUUAACUUCAACAAGAAAAAUAGUCUUUAAACAAAACACUGUCAUAUGGGGUUGGUAAAGACAACUAUUUGUUCUAGGCUAUGAAGUUUACAGGACAGUUAAUUGUGCAGUUGCUUUGUGUUGAAAGUGGGGUCGGUGUGUAUGCUGAGCUGUCGGCCGAUCUGUGGACUUGUGAGCUGGCGGUUUAAAGCCGUAUGCAGAGAACAGUAGCCAGCCACGGAGUAGUUUUCUCCUGCAGCUGUUCUGACUUCCGUGUAAAAUUUACGAAGGUGAUUAUUUAAAGUUUCCUCAGUGUCAUGGUGCCCAGCCCACUGUUCAAAUACUGUGACGGCUCACUUGGUGUUUUUUUUGUUUCUUUCCUCUCGCUCAGUUUCUAUCUGGUCUAGCUGCCUGUCACUUAUUACAAUCUUUUACUUACAGCUUGUUCAGAUUUGUUUUUCUUUUGUGGGAGAAUUUGUGAGUUGUUUUCCUGUGGGAUCAUUUCUUCUGGUGGUGGUUUCUUGAGCAUGUGGCACACGGAUAUCUGUCCAAGUGAAAAGGCACUUAUACCGGUACUUUUUAUUUCCCCGUCGUCUAUCGAAAGUUAAUGUAACCCCAUUCCAAGGGUACAUGCCAAUGAGAUACCAGGAAAUUAAAAGCCUGUUUGUUACAAUAGUGCCUUCAACCUCUUGCCCCCCCCAACACACACACACACACACACACACACACACAGCCGGACACUACAAUAUGUUGAGUUGACUAUAUAUGGCAGCAUAAAAAGGUGAUGUGGGGCUAUUUGCUUUAGCAGGGUGCUUAGUGAAAAACAAAUAACAUAUAAAAAACGUACAUAGUUGAAAGUGCCUGAGCUGGCUGCAUAGUACUCGUGCUGUUCUUAGUGUCCACAGUACUUCCUUCUCUACCCUGCUGUUUGUGUUAUUAUUUUAUGUCCUACGUUUUACGGUAUGGUUCGCGUCUUAGUCUGAAAUUUAAAAGUGGCUCAUGCCCAAGAAAAGGCUGGACUCCCCUGGACUAGUCUAAUCCCAGGGAAAAUGGGUAUGAAAGAUAAAGACUGCUCUACUAAACUUAAAUGUGUUCAAUAUAGAAGUAAAAUAAAUAAAGUAGGUUACAAAGGGUUCAAUGAAAAAAAAAUGGAAUCCUAAACCAUGUACUGUACAAAAUGUAGUCUAACGUGAACUUUAAUUUAAUUAGUAUUGGUAAUAGUCAGGGUCGUCUUACAGUGCAAUUGUGUAAAAAGCAAAAAACUGCUUCAUUCAGAAUCACAUCCAAUGAAACACUUGUCAAUGUUUAUUUACUAGUUUACCAAGUUUUAGUUUUAUUCAGAUUCUAUGUUAUAUUAUAGAUAGAGAUGGUAAUAAGCGCUGUAUUGCCCAAAGUACCACUCUCCUCUGGUCAGCAGAAUAGUAGGCGCUGCAGUGUGUUGAUUGGACCAAGUAUAUCUCACUGAGCUUGAAAUACUGCCACGAAGACUCCCUAGCCUAGAUCUCAAUCCAACUCUGCCCUUAUUAUUAUUAUAUCACAUUAUUUUUACAUACAAUUACAUUAUUUUUUUACACAUUAUUUUUACAUACAAUUACACAUUUAUACAGUUGUUUUUUUUUUUUUUACUGGAGCAAUCUAGGUAAAGUGCUGCUGUACCCUUGAGCAAGGUAGUGUCCUUCACCUGGGAUUGAACCCACGACCCUUUAGUCAAGAGUCCAGAGCCCUAACCACUACUCCACACUGCUGCCUUACAUGGACCUUAUGGACCGUCAUAUUCUUUGUCAUCAGGAAAGACAGUAAUUAUUCCUCAUCAGUCUUUUUAUCAGCUGGCUUUAAUUGUGUGAGCUGAGGGUUUGGGACUGUAGACAACUGUUGUUUUUGGGAGUUGUAGUCAGAGUUAAAAAGUAAAGCAAUUCAUUAUCAGUAGUAUUCCCGACCUCUGCUAAGUUGUCUCUUGUGUGUUUCUCAGCACCGCCGAGACAGCCUGGAGAAUCGGUACAGAGACCAGGUGACGAUGGAGAGGAAGGCUGAGAGGCACUGCAGUCGUAGCAGGAGUCGCUCCCAGGAUAAUGAUAACCACAAGCACAACAAGUCAAAGGGGGACGGAGACCGUGAGAGGAGAGACAGGAGCCAGAGUCCAAGGAAAUGCAAAGACAAGGAACGCAGCCAGCACAGAUAAGAAGAAUCCCCACUCUCAGAGAUUCAUCCAGGAACCCUUGAGCCCUGUUGGUUUUUUUUAAAUAAAUUAUUUUCAUCGUGUUGAUGGUUUGUGCAGCAAUGGACACUGAAGGCUGCCUUGUAGGGACCAGGGACCAUCUUCUUAGACAAGAUCUGUUUGGUCUCCAUGUCCAUACAAUCCUUGACCACCUCUUUUUUUUUUACUUCCUCCUCUUAGUGCUAGUUGUGCAGAUGUGCUUUACAUGGAGGGCUAAGUUAAGACCGAAGUAUGUUUUUAACCAGCAUCAGUGAAGAACUGUACCUAGUCGGAGUAACUCCCUCUCGAUACAUUCUUAUCUGAUAUGCACCUGAGAUUUUUAAUAAAGCUACUGAAUUCUG